AGAGAGAGAGAGCUUUGUCAAUUCAUAUGAAUUAAUAAUUUUGUAAAAUAUGUAUAAAUAUAUUUUCUGUUCAAUUGAAUCUCCAUUUAUUUUGUGUCAUAUAUCAUCCCACAUCAUCAACACACUUAGAUAAUCACACUGUUCAACAAUAAAUUACUAAAAGAUUUGUACAUUCAUCACAGUCAACCACUCCUUGAGUACAUAAUUACCGUACAAAAACACCUUAAAACGAUGUGUUGCGAUCAUCAAAAUAGUCUGAAUACACAAUAUUAAUAAAUUAAUUAUACAGAUGUGUAUUUUCAUAAAAGUCAAGGACUAAAUCUACUGGUAAAAGUAGCAAAAUGAUGAGUAGUUUGUCUUAAGGACAGACCCUGUUUGUCCCUGUUACAGGUCCUGUUGUCUCUGUUACAGGUCCUGUUUGUCUCUGUUACAGGUCCUGUUUGUCUCUGUUACAGGUCCUGUUUGUCUCUGUUACAGGUCCUGUUUGUCUUAAGGACAGAUCCUGUUUGUCUCUGUUACAGGUCCUGUUUGUCUCUGUUACAGGUCCUGUUUGUCUUAAGGACAGGUCCUGUUUGUCUCUGUUACAGGUCCUGUUGUCUCUGUUACAGGUCCUGUUUGUCUCUGUUACAGGUCCUGUUUGUCUCUGUUACAGGUCCUGUUUGUCUUAAAGACAGGUCCUGUUUGUCCCUGUUACAGGUCCUGUUUGUCCCUGUUACAGGUCCUGUUUGUCCCUGUUACAUGUCCUGUUUGUCCCUGUUACAGGUCCUGUUUGUCUCUGUUACAGGUCCUGUUUGUCUCUGUUACAGGUCCUGUUUGUCUUAAGGACAGAUCCUGUUUGUCCCUGUUACAGUUCCCAUUUGUCCCUGUUACAUUCACAACCUGGAACCCAUUUCCAUCAUGACCACCUACCUAAUCAUCCCCCUCAUUCCUAAUCGGCAGCCAUUUUGUGCCAGAACACUCACCACACAUCAAUCAGCUAGCAUGGUGGAGAGGUGAAAUUAUGUGAUGAGCGUUCUGGCACAAAAUGGCUGCCGUGCACCACCCACACAUUGGUGGUGGAUGAGGUGAGUUUCACCCUUUACUAUGUAAAACGCUUUGAAUCCCUCAGUUGGUAGCGAGAGGGCGCGAUAUAAAUCCAACCCAUUAUUAUUAUUAUUAGUACGUUGUGCAUAUGCGACCAUUUUUACGAGCUGCUUUUUACGAGUCCAGUCGUAGCUCCGGACUGAUAUCUAGGAGUAUGACAUAACACUGUUUAACAUCUCAUAAGCAUGACAUAGGGCAUGACAUAGGACAUGACAUAGGACAUGACAUAGGACAUGACAUAGGACUAUUGUUGCAAAAUUGCGGUAAUUUCCCCCAAAU
This is a long non-coding RNA of Oncorhynchus keta (chum salmon), 1362 nucleotides long. RefSeq lists it as uncharacterized. The record is from RefSeq and is a predicted model, not a curated record. Lineage: Eukaryota; Metazoa; Chordata; Actinopteri; Salmoniformes; Salmonidae. The transcript has 3 exons.